CUAUAUCUUGCAAUAUAUAUUUCUAAUGAACAUGUUUCCUUUUCCAGAUUAAAGACCUCAUAUCAUACUACAAAUAACAUAUAAUUAACAGACCUAACUAUUAACAUACACGGAUCUACAGGCUCUGACAUUCGACUGUCAGACCUAUUUUUCCAAAAUUUUCGAAUUGCUUAAAACACUAAUUUGAUGCAUCUAGAUGUUAUGAAAACGUGUUCUAUCAACUUAGUAUACUUUCUACCAUGUUAUUAC
This 249-nucleotide long non-coding RNA is filed under the name Panax ginseng (ginseng). RNAcentral's name for it is "long non-coding RNA (PGIN_LNC005594)". The record is from RNAcentral. Lineage: Eukaryota; Viridiplantae; Streptophyta; Magnoliopsida; Apiales; Araliaceae.